This 253-nucleotide ribosomal RNA is filed under the name uncultured bacterium. RNAcentral's name for it is "partial 16S ribosomal RNA". It matches the Rfam family "Bacterial small subunit ribosomal RNA", at positions 524 to 776 of the family's 1533-position model. The record is from RNAcentral.
UACAGAGGUCUCAAGCGUUGUUCGGAUUCAUUGGGCGUAAAGGGCGCGUAGGCGGCCGCCUAAAUCAGACGUGAAAUCCCUCGGCUCAACCGGGGUACUGCGUCUGAUACUGGGUGACUUGAAUUCGGGAGAGGGAUGCGGAAUUCCAGGUGUAGCGGUGAAAUGCGUAGAUAUCUGGAGGAACACCGGUGGCGAAGGCGGCAUCCUGGACCGAGAUUGACGCUGAGGCGCGAAAGCCAGGGGAGCAAACGGG